GGGAAUGUGGCUUAGUGGUAGAGUGCUUGCCUAGCAUGCAUAAAGCCCUGGGUUCAAUUCCUCAGUACCA
This is a non-coding RNA of Dipodomys ordii (Ord's kangaroo rat), 70 nucleotides long. Lineage: Eukaryota; Metazoa; Chordata; Mammalia; Rodentia; Heteromyidae. The record is from Rfam.